Molecule: long non-coding RNA, 1761 nt
Organism: Scylla paramamosain (green mud crab)
Lineage: Eukaryota; Metazoa; Arthropoda; Malacostraca; Decapoda; Portunidae
Exons: 2
Source: RefSeq, a predicted model, not a curated record
CACCUAUUGUGAUACCCCCUGACAUUGCGCCGCGGACUGCCACCACCCACACAACACCGCCUCUGUCUUCAAAUGCUGAUCGGUGGUGGUGAACUGCAGGACUUGAUGUCAUGGCAUUGAUGACUAUGGAGGUGGUGGCAGUAAUAUUGGUAGGUGUGCAGUAUUGCUGCUGUGGUGGUGAUGGUCAUACAUCACCUUUCUAGUUUAUAGUGAUAUAGUGAUGGGGAGGGGAUUAAUGUGGUCAUUUCAGAUAAUUCUGACAACCACUCCAAUCUUGCUCCAUCUCUCCACUGGCCGCACGAGACUUGCUGGCCUAGCGGUGCCCUCACUACGCCACUCCCGUCUCCCCCCGCGGCACACGACACAGCUGGCAGACAAACGACGACGCAACGUUUCCCCGGUCGGCGAGGUACGGCAGAGAGGAGGAAAAGAUAGAGGCAGAAAAAAAAAUAGAAAGAGGCAAAAUCUCUAGUGACAAAGGACUGGCAGAAGAGUACGAGAGCGGCGGGAAGAGCGGGAGGAAGUUGUGGGUGGGGUGGGGGAAGGAAACACUUGCACAAAAGGCGUAUGCCAGGGUGGCGAGCAGCACCUCCUUCCUCCUCCCUCCUCCCGCCUCCGCCGACCCCCGCCGGGCGACGACAGAGCAGCGCACCCUGCCCAUUAUCCCGCGCCGCUGCUGCUUCGCCCUGGUAAUAAUGGCGACGUAAGAGUGUCUGUUAGUAUGCACCGUGUGACUGAGGGAGUGUGGUGCCGCGUGGGUCCCGGGGCGAGGGUCUGGCCUGAGCUGGGACGGGCCGCCCCCCCUACCGGGUGCUUCUGCAGGGAUCCAUUCAGCUUGCGGCUGAUUGUGAGUAUUGUACUUAAGCUGUUGACGUGCGUGGAAUACCUGAAUUAUAUUUAGAUCUACAGGUGAAGUGUUUUCAUCUAAAGGGGGGAACACGCGGCUGUGUGUCACGGAAUCAGAGUGCCCUACCAGGAAAUGCCGCUCCACCCGCCACACCUGCGGGACACUCGUUACGAUCACCGCUGACCAGAGAGUGGCCUGAAGGUCUACUUGAAAACUAUUACAUAUCACGACCCUGACCCACAGUGUGGUACCACGCUUUGCUGCCGCUAGGGUUUAGAUGGUCACGCAAAAAGAAUAACGACCAGUAGCAUCAUUUCCUUCGACAUACGACUUCAUUUAUCACCAGUUUUAUGUGUGGCGGAGGCCGUGGACGCAAGACUGGUGGGUGAUGAGAGACGGCCGGCGGUGUGUCAGCGAUGUUCACGCGCCUCCAGGAAGGAAUCAAUCAUAAGAAAACACCUGUCCUUAGCCGGUCGAUCAACCCGAGAUCAGAAUUAAUCAGCUGGCGUCAGUCCGCGGCACACCUUCCUCCAUCCACCUGAUGAGCUGGAUACCUGUGCGGCGUCUCCACCUCAUCAAUCAUGGGAACACACAAACCUAUUGAUUCAUCCUAUACUAAAUUUUGUCCGCCAGUGAACAGCACACGGCCUAGUGACAAGAGGAUGAAAAGACAUCUGUUGAAUUUUUGCCGUUCAGUGACAAGUUUUCGUUGAAUUAAAUGAAAUAAUAAUUAAAAGCCGCAAAUGAAUUGUGGAAGGACGAAAGCUGUUGUUAUAUUAUUGCUCACACACACACACACACACACACACACACACACACACACACACACACACACACACACACACACACACACACACACACACACACACACACACACACACACACACACACACACACACACACACACAGAGCAC